GACGAACGCUGGCGGCGUGCUUAACACAUGCAAGUCGAACGGAAAGGCCUGCUUUCCCUUGUGGAUUGCGGGUACUCGAGUGGCGAACGGGUGAGUAACACGUGAGUGAUCUGCCCCCAACUUGGGUAUAAGCCUGGGAAACUGGGUCUAAUUCCCGAUAGGACUGCAGGGUGGUGCCUGUGGUGGAAAACGAUUUUCUAGUGGUUGGGGAUGAGCUCGCGGCCUAUCAGCUUGUUGGUGGGGUAAUGGCCUACCAAGGCGGCGACGGGUAGCCGGCCUGAGAGGGUGGACGGGCACAUUGGGACUGAGAUACGGCCCAGACUCCUACGGGAGGCAGCAGUGGGGAAUAUUAGACAAUGGGCGGAAGCCUGAUGCAGCGACGCCGCGUGGGGGAUGACGGCCUUCGGGUUGUAAACUCCUUUCGACCGCGAGGAAGCCACCUGGUUGGAAGGGUGGUGACGGUAGUGGUAGAAGAAGCACCGGCUAACUACGUG
RNAcentral lists this ribosomal RNA (494 nucleotides) under uncultured bacterium. RNAcentral describes it as "partial 16S ribosomal RNA". It matches the Rfam family "Bacterial small subunit ribosomal RNA", at positions 28 to 507 of the family's 1533-position model. The record is from RNAcentral.